AAUGGGCGCAAGCCUGACCCAGCAACGCCGCGUGAGGGAAGAAGGUUUUCGGAUUGUAAACCUCUGUCGCAGGGGACGAAAAAAAUGACGGUACCCUGUGAGGAAGCCCCGGCUAACUACGUGCCAGCAGCCGCGGUAAGACGUAGGGGGCGAGCGUUGUCCGGAAUUACUGGGCGUAAAGGGUGCGUAGGCGGCAAUUCAAGUCUGAUGUGAAAUUCCCGUGCUUAACAUGGGGCUUGCAUCGGAAACUGAAUAGCUAGAGUGCAGGAGAGGUAAGCGGAAUUCCUAGUGUAGCGGUGAAAUGCAUAGAUAUUAGGAGGAACACCAGUGGCGAAGGCGGCUUACUGGACUGUAACUGACGCUGAAGCACGAAAGCGUGGGGAGCAAA
Molecule: ribosomal RNA, 388 nt
Filed under: uncultured bacterium
Lineage: Bacteria
Description: bacterial SSU rRNA
Rfam family: Bacterial small subunit ribosomal RNA
Source: RNAcentral